This 655-nucleotide long non-coding RNA is filed under the name Coturnix japonica (Japanese quail). RNAcentral describes it as "lncRNA (ENSCJPG00005008190.1)". The record is from RNAcentral. Lineage: Eukaryota; Metazoa; Chordata; Aves; Galliformes; Phasianidae.
CACUCACAACGUUCCAUUAUCAGCUGGUCUUUAAAAAGCAUUGUUUAGUAGCCAAUGCUGUUUCUUGCCAUGUCCCAGACCUCAGUCAGGUACCUUUUCUGUUUAUCAUCACCAGCAUACAGCCUGUCCAAAGAAUUACCUUCAGCUAUAUCUCUCUCUCACACAACUAUAUGAAAGUCCAGAUGGUGGCCUAUUUAAAACAUCUGGUACCUAGAAAAAAUGAGGGUUAGCAUCAUUUUUUGUAUGCCCUUCUAUGCAAUAAUGCUAUGUCUUAAUCAGAUAGUGGAAAACUGCUUAUUGAUCAUUUAGGGUUUCAUUCUUCUCAGUUACAGAAGAGUGUACAAGAAUUAGUUUCACUGAUGCAGAAGUGUAGGUAAAGGAAAUUCUUCAUAGAGAGUCAACCAAGAAACUCUUCUCUGUAGUCCUUCAUGAGUCUCAAGAAUGUGUUUGUUUUGUCCAUCACUGGAGAAAAUGAAGAACAGAGGAGAAAAGAGAAAAAAAAAAAAAAAAAAAGUGAAGUUUAAGCACAAACUUUUGCACAAAGUUGAUUUGGCUUCACUUCUUUAACACUUAAGAUCAUCAGCUCAUGAAGAUGAAAGCUGACAAAGUAAAAUUAAAACGGCGAAGAGUCACAAGCAACACCAAGCAAAGGAGC